This 216-nucleotide ribosomal RNA is filed under the name Glomeromycotina sp. Its description in RNAcentral is "partial small subunit ribosomal RNA". The stretch from base 40 to 216 matches the Rfam family "Eukaryotic small subunit ribosomal RNA", at positions 686 to 864 of the family's 1831-position model. The record is from RNAcentral. Lineage: Eukaryota; Fungi; Glomeromycota.
GGGUCAGGAGGUUGGUCGUGCCACCGGUACGUACUGGUCUCACUGAUUCCUCCUUCCUGAAGAACCGUAAUGCCAUUAAUUUGGUGUUGCGGGGAAACAGGACUGUUACUUUGAAAAAACUAGAGUGUUUAAAGCAAGCUAACGCUUGAAUACAUUAGCAUGGAAUAAUGAAAUAGGACGAUCGAUCCUAUUUUGUUGGUUUCUAGGAUUGACGUA